UUAGCGUUUUUCAUUUCUAUUUUUGUUUUUAAUUUGUUCAAUCGUUUUAAAAAUCUGUUCGUUAGAACACCUAAUUUAAUUACCCAAGACUUUUUAGCAAUUAUGGAUUCUACCUACCCAUCUACUUCAACAAAUUCUCUUCCAGGAGCCUGCCAUCUUUGCAGCAAAAUAUUUAAAAAUGUGGAAUUACGAAAUCGUCAUAUCAAAAGAAUACACAAAACAGAUGUUCCGCCCAGGGCUAACAACAAAAUGAAUCAAAAUCGCAUCAUUUGUCCGUUAUGUGAUCAAGAAACUAAUUUUGAAAGUCAUGAGAAAUUACGAAAACAUCUCCAGGACUGCCACCAGCUGAGUAUUGAACUAAUAACUUUUGAAUUUUCUAGCAAACAAGAAUAUGAGACAUGGAAAGAUAUGCAGAAAAUUGAGACAAGUUAUGCAUGUACUAGAACAAUCCGUGGAAAGGAACAUAAGAUAAUGUACUAUGAUUGCAAUAGAAGUGACAUACAUGGAUAUAAGCCCAACUAUAAAAUUAGGACAGAGAAAUCUGGUGGAUCAAUUAGAAUAAAAGGAGUGUGCCCUUCCAGACUGGCUUGCAAACUGAGAGACCAAGGACAAGUUUCUGUCAGUUAUUGGAAAACACAUGUUGGACAUAAAGAAGAAUUAAGAACAAUGCAUCUGUCAAAAGCAGAAGAAAAAACGGUUGUAGAAAAAUUAAUGGCUGGGGUGCCACCCACUAGAAUUUUAAAAGAUUCAAGAAAAUUGGAAGUACCACAAUUAGAUAGACUUGCUGUAAUAACAAGUCAGGAUCUCAGAAAUUUGACCAGAAAGUAUAAUAUACACAAGAAACGAGAUCAAAAUGAUAUGAUAGCAGCAGCCCUAAAGGUUCAGGAAUGGAAUGCUAACAACAAGAAUUAUGCUUUCUUAUUCAAGAAGGAAGGAGAAGAUCAUGAUAUAUUGAGAAAAGAAGAUUUUGCAGUAGGGUUCAUGAAUGCGGUGAUGGAAGAGAAACUACUAGAAUUCCCGAACAUAAUUUGUGUCGAUGGGACACAUGGGACAAAUAAAAAAGGACUGGAUUUGACGAUUUUGCUGGUGAAAGACUUGUUGCGUUCCUUCUGUCAAAUAGAUUGGACCAACGAAUUCAAGAAGUUUUUUUAGAUGCCCUCAAGAAUAAGAUACAGACAGAAGUUAAUGCGGAAUAUUUCAUGAGUGAUGAUGAUCCUAAAUAUUAUAAUGCAUGGAAGAAGAUAAUGAGACAAGAACCAAGGAGACUAUUAUGUACGUGGCAUGUGGUGAAGAACUGGAACAUUAGAGGAAAGAAAAAAUUACAGGAUCCAACUUUGAAGGCACAAAUGAAAAAUGAACUCAGGCAGAUUAUUCGAGAACCAGAUGAAGAUAAAUUUAAAGAACUAUGUGACAAAUAUGUAUCCAAACUAGAAGAGGCAAAUGAGAUAGAAUUUGUCAAUUAUCUGAAAAAACAAUACUUGGCUGAACACAGAAAAAAAAUUGUGGCCCUAUUGUUACAGAAGAAAUGCCGGGAUUAAUACCAACAUGGCAAUUGAAUCACUCAACAAUCUACUAAAGACGAAUUACCUCAAGAGAAAUGCAGCAGUGGGGAUUGAGAAGCUACUGGAUACAAUGGAUGAGCUAGUUGAAGAAAAAAUGUGGACGAGGAUAGUUGAUAUAAUACGACCAAGCGCAAAUAAUUAUCAAGACAGGCUUUCAAUAAGAGCACACAAACGGGCAGCAUCGAUGAAAGGCAAA
This is an RNA transcript of Diabrotica virgifera virgifera (western corn rootworm), 1758 nucleotides long. RefSeq lists it as uncharacterized. The transcript is spliced from 5 exons. The record is from RefSeq and is a predicted model, not a curated record. NCBI's taxonomy places the organism in Eukaryota, Metazoa, Arthropoda, Insecta, Coleoptera, Chrysomelidae.